Molecule: ribosomal RNA, 391 nt
Filed under: uncultured Actinomycetes bacterium
Lineage: Bacteria; Bacillati; Actinomycetota; Actinomycetes
Description: bacterial SSU rRNA
Rfam family: Bacterial small subunit ribosomal RNA
Source: RNAcentral
AAUGAACGAAAGUUUGACACAGCGACACCGCGUGUGGGAUGACGGAUCUAGGUUUGUAAACCACUUUCAGGAGGGAAGAAAAUGACGGUACCUCCACAAGAAGCCCCGGCCAACUACGUGCCAGCAGCCGCGGUAAUACGUAGGGGGCGAGCGUUGUCCGGAUUUAUUGGGCGUAAAGAGCUCGUAGGCGGUUCAACAAGUCGGUCGUGAAAGUUCAGGGCUCAACUCUGAAAUGCGAUCGAUACUGUUGGACUAGGAUACGGUAGAGGUGAGUGGGAUUCCGAGUGUAGCGGUGAAAUGCGUAGAUAUUCGGAGGAACACCAAUUGCGAAGGCAGCUCACUGGACCGCUAUCGACGCUGAGGAGCGAAAGCUAGGGGAGCAAACAGGAUU